GCUACACAAAGGGGAGGAGGGAGAAGAAGGACCAGAAACUCAGCAGGACCCUGAGCCCCAAGCCGCUCCCUCAUUUUCCCAUUCAUUUGGCCAUUCAGUGGUGUGACAGCCAGACCUCAGAGGAUCCAGAAUCCAGAAGUGGUGAAGGAGAUACUGAGUUCUCAGUCAUCCUGAACUACAUAACAGAGUUUGAAGCCAGCCUGGACAGUAUGAGACCCCGCCAUAAACAAGAAAACGUUCAACCAUCUAGAACGGAGGCAACGUAGUACUUGAUGUCCAAUGCACUUCCCUCCUCAAGCUCAUUCAUAGAAAUAAAGUCGCUUUAAAGACA
Molecule: long non-coding RNA, 331 nt
Organism: Arvicola amphibius (Eurasian water vole)
Lineage: Eukaryota; Metazoa; Chordata; Mammalia; Rodentia; Cricetidae
Exons: 2
Source: RefSeq, a predicted model, not a curated record